GCAUGUAGCGUUAGCACCGUGAACGCACCUGAUCUCCUCUGAUCUCUGAAGCUAACAGGUUGACCCUGGCUAGUACUUGGAUGAGAAACCACUUGGGAAUACUGAGUGCUGUAGCCU
This 117-nucleotide ribosomal RNA is filed under the name Tauraco erythrolophus (red-crested turaco). The record is from RNAcentral. Lineage: Eukaryota; Metazoa; Chordata; Aves; Musophagiformes; Musophagidae.